GGAGAGCCGGCUAAGUGGUUGAUAGCUCCGUUCUUGAAAAUUGGUAUAGUUCUAAGAACUAUCGAGAGUUCAAAUCCCUCUCUGUCCU
Molecule: non-coding RNA, 88 nt
Organism: Triticum aestivum (bread wheat)
Lineage: Eukaryota; Viridiplantae; Streptophyta; Magnoliopsida; Poales; Poaceae
Source: Rfam